CCCUUAGAUGUCCUGGGCCGCACGCGCGUUACACUGAUGCAUUCAACGAGCUUAUAACCUUGGCCGAGAGGCCUGGGCAAUCUUGUUAAUGUGCAUCGUGAUAGGGAUAGAUUAUUGAAAUUAUUAAUCUUGAACGAGGAAUUCCUAGUAAACGCAGAUCAUCAAUCUGCAUUGAUUACGUCCCUGCCCUUUGUACACACCGCCCGUCGCACCUACCGAUUGGAUGGUCCGGUGAAGCCUCGGGAUUGUGGUUCUUGCCGCUUUAUUGUGGCGUGACCGCGAGAACUUGUCUAAACCUUAACAUCUAGAGGAAGGUGAAGUCGUAACA
RNAcentral lists this ribosomal RNA (328 nucleotides) under uncultured eukaryote. RNAcentral describes it as "partial 18S ribosomal RNA". It matches the Rfam family "Eukaryotic small subunit ribosomal RNA", at positions 1470 to 1796 of the family's 1831-position model. The record is from RNAcentral.